GUUACAGUUUGGAUGUAAAAUGUCCCCUGCAGGUUUGUGUGUCAAAGACUCUGUGUCCAUGCAAUGUUCCAAGGUGUGGCU
RNAcentral lists this microRNA precursor (81 nucleotides) under Mus caroli (Ryukyu mouse). RNAcentral's name for it is "microRNA 130c (MGP_CAROLIEiJ_G0008271.1)". Lineage: Eukaryota; Metazoa; Chordata; Mammalia; Rodentia; Muridae. The record is from RNAcentral.